Non-coding RNA from Macaca mulatta (Rhesus monkey), 7468 nucleotides. Lineage: Eukaryota; Metazoa; Chordata; Mammalia; Primates; Cercopithecidae. The record is from RefSeq and is a predicted model, not a curated record.
AAAAAAAAAAAAAAAAAAAAAAAAAAUAUUGCUGGCUACAUGCCGAUAAGUAGGACGAAGGGAGCAUUCUUAAGAGAAACUUGGCACCAUAAGUACAGAUUAAGGCAGAGGACAUUCAAAAGAGAUAGGCAGGUGCAGUAGGUACAGACGUGACCACCAUGAGACCUUCCUGAGAUGGCAGGAAGGAGCCCAGUCCCCGAGUGGAUUUGGAUUGAUCACCGCACAUGUGCCCCAACCAACAGUGAGGGGGUCCCACAAGCCCAAGUGGGGAAAGUUAGGGAUCUAAGGCAGGAGCAGGAAAACCAGACAAAGAAAACAGGUGGAGACUUGAGACAGAGGCAUGAAUGUGAAGAAACCCAAAUUAAAAUUUCCUGCACAGGACACUUGGCCUGUUUUCCUGCACAAUCAGCCCACUCUUCCCUUGGGUCCUACCUAUUUUUUUCUACAAUAAGCUGUUUACACUGUAUUUAUUUUCAAUGAAGUUAUCUGCCAUCUUUGUACUGCCUCCUGGUGAAAAUCUUUCUUCCAAGUUAGACAAGAACUGGGACAACAGCUCUCUCCAGCGACAGCUCCUUUUGAGUUUGAAUUUCCCAAACUGAUGGCGCUGAAUUACUGGUGCUCCGACUUUAAGUGGUGCAGAAAGAGUUGCAGCAUUACCUGGAAAGAAGCUAAAGCUGGGUGGUUUCAAUAUGGCCGAUUAGGAACAGCUCCAGGCUACAACUCCCAGCGUGAGUGACACAGAAGACAGGUGAUUUCUGCAUUUCCAACUGAGGUACCGGGUUCAUCUCGCUGGGGCGCAUUUGACAGUGGGUGCUGGACAGUGGGUGCAGCCCACCGAGCAAGAGCCGAAGCAGGGUGACGUGUUGCCUUACCCAGGUAGUGCAAGGGGUAAGGGAAUUCCCUUUCCUAGCCAAGGGAAUCCCUGACACACAACACCUGGAAAUUCGGGUCACUCCCACCUAAUACUGUGCUUUUCCAAGGAUCUUAGCAAACUGCACACUAGGAGAUUAUAUCCUGCACCUAUCUUGGAGGAUUCCAUGCCCACGGAGCUUCGCUCAUUGCUAGCACAGCAGUCUGAGAUCUAACUGCAAGGCAGCAGCGAGGCUGGGGGAGGGGUGCCCGCCAUUGCUGAGGCUUGAGCAGAUAAACAAAGUGACCGGGAAGCUCUAACAGGGUAGAGCCCACCGCAGCUCAAGGAGGCCUGUCUGCCUCUGUAGACUCCACCUCUGGGGACAGAGCAUAGCCAAACAAAAGUGUGCACAAACCUCUGCAGAUUUAAAUGUCCCUGUCUGACAGCUUUGAGGAGAGUAGUGGUUCUCCCAGCACGGAGUUUGAGAUCUGAGAACGGACAGACUGCUUCCUCGAGUGGGUCCCUGAGCCCCGAGAAGCCUAACUGGGAGGCAUCCCCCAGUAGGGGCCGACUGACUCCUCACACAGCCAGGUGCCCCUCUGAGAUGAAACUUCCAGAGGGACAACCAGGCAGCAACAUUUGCUGUUCAGCAAUAUUCACCAUUCUGCAGCCUCUGUGGCUGAUACCCAGGCAAACAGGGUCUGGAGUGGACCUCCAGCAAACUCCAACAGACCUGCAGCUGAGGAUCCUGACUGUUAGAAGGAAAACUAACAAACAGAAAGGACAUCCACACCAAAACCCCAUCUUUACGUCACCAUCAUCAAAGACCAAAGGUAGAUAAAACCAUCUUUUCUCAUUGGUUAAUGGCCAUCCUGUGUCCGUAAUGAUGGUUAGUGUCCACGAUAAAAAUUUCAAAUAUAAUUAUAUUUUGUGGCUAAUAAGUUGUAACAUUGAAUUAGCACUAAGAAUCUUCCUGCCAUGAAGUCAGUUGUGUGUUCUCUGCAUUCCCUGACCCUCACUUUUUGUGUAAAGUUUUGUGUAUUACCUGAUGAAUAGAACAAAACUUGUUUGUGCCCAUUUAACAGGUAAUUCAUGUUUUCAAAAGAUAAGCAUUAUCUUUCUUUUAUCACUUCUAAUAAUUCAACUCUGUAGUCCUGAUCAGUGUGGCUUACAAACUGGAAGACUAAAGACAUUUUUAAAAACCUAAUAGCUAAGUUAGUUUUUGAAGCUAUUAAUAUUGCUAAAAUUAUUGCUAUAGAAAAGAGAAAAGAGCAUGUUGAAUAGAACUCUGUUAUUAGAGAUUUUUCCUGAAAAAGUCACAUGUUAUUUCUUCUCACCUCCACUGGCACCAAAAAAAAAAAAAAAAGAAAAGAAAAGAAAAAGCUAUAUGGUCUUGCAAAACUUUAAGCAGGUGGGUUGGAAUGGGCCAGAAGUAUGGUUAGAGGUGGGGUCAUGGUCAGGGUCAAGAUCAGAGUCAGGGUCAAAGUCAGGGUCAGAAUUAGGGACCAGGGUAGGGAUCAGGGUUUAGGGUUAGGGUCAAAGUCUAGAGACAGGAUUGGGGUUAGGAUUAGAACCAGAGAUUUGUUCUCCUCAGGACCCACCAGAGAAGAGGCCAUGACUUUGGAGCACCUGGUAGUGUGUCCACAGUGAAGACUAGAGUUUCAUUGUCCUCAAGACUGACCUGGGGAGACGUGGCUGUGGGCCAGUGAGGAACGUGAGGCAAAAGCUUCCUGUCUGCUCCCUGGGUGCUAAAGGGAGCUCUGCCAUGGGCUUUACUUCACACGUUAUAUCCUGCAAAUCUUGUUUUACAAAAGCAUCCCUUCCUCGAGGCUUUGGUUGCUCAUCAUCACAGCGUGUCAUAACAUAUGGUAAGAUUUGGGUUUGCUUCAGCGGGGAGAUCUUGGUACAGAGAAAGGAGCAAUGCUUAGAGCCACCUCAGGACAGUUGGGAUGAAAGCUGGGGAUGGGUGGAGGCUGGAGGAAACAUGUGCACCCCCUGUAAACACUUUUAUUCAUGCUUUCAUUACUCAUUUUUCUUACAGUGUUAAAGUAGUAAAAAUGGUAUUGAAAAAUUGAAGAGUAGGCAUAUUAAAACUUGCAACAUUAUUUAAGUUUAAAUAUAUUAUUUGUACCUCAUCAACAUUUUUUAUUUUGUUGAGAAAGUCUAAGGUUAAUUGGCAGCAUAUUUUAAUAGUAGAUAGAAUAAUAUCUGUUUUAUAAACAUUGACAUCCUACAUUACAGGUGUGAACCGUGAAAGUCUGAGACAGGUCUCAGAUUUUUUAGAAAGUUUAUUUUUCCAAGUUUGAGGAUGCGCCCCUGAUGCCUCUGCAGGAGGUCCCGACAACACAGGCCCAAGGUGGUCGGGGCCCAGCUUGGUUUUACACACUUUAGGGAGACGUGAGACAUCGAUCAAUAUGUGAAAGAUGUACCUUGGUUCAGUCCAGGAAGGUGAGACAACUUGAAGAGAAGGCCAGACAGGGAGCCUCCAGGUCAUAGGUAGGUAAGACACAAAUAGUUUCAUUCUUUUGAGUUGCCGGUUACCCUCUCCCGAUGAGGCACUCAGAUACACGUUUCUCUUGGUGAGCAGACGGGUGACUUUGGACAGAAUGGGAGGCGGGUUUGCCCUCAGCAGCCCCAGCUUGACUUUUCACUUUAGCUUAGUGAUUUUGGGUCCCCAAGGUUGAUUUUCCUUUCACAAGGUCUAACAUGUUUUCCUAUGAGCAUUAAGUAUUCAUUGGGUAUUUUAUUACACAAGGCACAGAUUUUUAAAAAAUCAUCAACUUCAUGACUAGCUCUAUAGACAUAACAACAUAGAGGUUCAACCAAAUUUGGAAACAUUCCAGAGUUUUGGUUUCUAAUACUUCUUUGUGAUUCUUUAAAAGGUAAAGUAUUUUUUUUCCGUAAAGCAUAGUAACAUCUAAAAUCACCCGUAGAAUGUCCUUUCAUUUUUUUUCUCUAGUUUCCCCAUUUUCUGCAAAGCCUCAUUGAGGAAAUUGACUUUUAAUAUCCUUUUACACGCUUCUGUUUUAGAAAUCUUUGUGGUAAAACAUUGAAUAUUCAUGGUCACAAGUUCUGUUCACAUUCUUUCUUUCUUUGAAUAUUUUUUUCCCAGUGGCCAAUAUUUGAUUCUGUUGUAUUAUGGCUAAAAAGUAGGCAUGGAACAAAAUAAAGACAAGAAGUCUUUGGAAGAAGUGAUCCAGUCACAGUGAAUCAAUUUGCCAUUGGAACAUAUUUUUACAAAGUCACUCUUUUGAAAAUAUUUUGUCAUGAAUUGAAACAGAGUCUGGUAGGUUAUUUUUUUUCCUGGUCUAAAGUGAACAGCAUUUUAGAGAAUGAACCCAGGAUACAACCACAGCACAAGAAAAAAAUAUGAUAAAUAAGUUUACACAUAUGUGUUACCACUGUAACAGAAAACAUGUAAAGAACAUUUAUUUUGAUUUAUAUAUCAGUCUGUAUUGUUUAAUUUUUUUGUGUCAUAAAUGCUCUUAUUUAAAAAACAGGACUAGUUAACAGUGUCAAUUACUAGCAGUUCAUGGUAUAAAUAAUUAAACAAGGAAGUGUUAGAAAAACAUAACAAUGUUUCAAAUACAGCUAUAUUUUAUAGCAGUUUUUGACUUACACAGAAAUUGCAAAAAAGAAAAAUUGCAGAGAUUUCCACUGUAGCGUCAACCUACUUUCUUCUCUUAUUAACAUCUUCUGUCAGUGUGUCUCACGUGGCUUAUUAAUAUCUUACAUAAUGUGUCACAGUUAAUGAACAAAUACUGAUGGACUAUUAUUAACUAAAAUUCAUAUUUCAUUUGGAUUCCCUUAGUUCCAUCUUACCCUGACCCAUCCAGGAUCCCGCAUGACAUGUAGUCAUCACGUAGGUGGCUCCUGGAUGUGACAGCGUGUCUGGCUUUCCAUCUCAUGAUGACCUUGACAGUAUUGAGGAGGAUUGGUCAGGAAUUUUGUAGAAUGUCCCCCAUUGUAAUUAAACAUGGAAUUUUUCUUAUAAUUAGACUGGGGUUCUGGGUCUGGAAGAAGUAGAUCACAGAGGUGAAGUGCUACUCUUGUCACUUCAUUUUCUCAUGGUGAACUGUCGCCUUUGAUGUUCACUUGGAUUGUUCGGCAGAGCUAGUUUGUCAGGUUUCUCCACUGUGAUGUUAUUUUUCCUCCUUGUCCAUACUGCACGUGUUCUUUCGGAACAAGUCACUAUGUGGAGCCCACACUUACAGAGUGAGGAGCUCCACCUUCUUGACGGCUGACUGUCUACCUCAAUUAUUUGGAAUUCUUUUGCAAAGGUGAUUUCUAUUCAACUCCAUUUGCUUAUUCACCUAUGUAUACAAACACAGACACCUAGAUAAUUACCUAAAGCUUUAGAUACUAUUCAGCACUACAGCAUUAUGUUGCACAAUUCAUUCCUGUGUUAGUCAUGGGUAGCUCUUUUUAUUGGCUCCUAUUUUUCUUUCAAUAAAAGAAUUAAUUUUUAUUUAUUUUUAUGACAUAUUUUAAUUUUUUUUGUACAUAUUUACUUUCUGAUACUUCAAGAUUAUCUGGCUCAUAUAUUUACUGUCCCAGUUCUAGUACCAGACAUUUCUUCAAAGAGCCUGAUUCCUUUGAGAAUGGUAGGAAAACUUACAUCUGACUGCUGAAUGAGCACAUUAUAUCUUGUCCCUCCUUAGCAAUGCUAGGAAGUAUACGUGUGCAUCUAACAGACCUAUACACCCCUAAUUAUAAAGGUUUCUGUGUGGAACUGUAUGUAUCUAUAUUAAACCAAAUGUAAGUUUAUGUUGAUGUCUCCACCUCUGAUCUAUCAUAUGAAUCAUUCUAGCCUUCUCCCCUUGCUAAUUUGUAAUCUCCCACUUCAACAGUGAGAGACCUGGUUCCUACCAUCUGCAAGUUAUGUAAGUCAUUGUUUUAUUCCAGAUAAGGAUACUGUGGUUUUACAAUUGUUCACAAUUACUCCUGUUGGAAAGAACUUUAUAAAAUGGAAUCCAGUGAUGAAGUGUAGUUCAUUUGCCUUCAGCCUACAGAGUCUAUUCAUUUUUGAAGUGACUUAGGUCAACACCAUUUUCUCUACACCUUCAGUAAGUUUUUUCAUACAUUUGUGUCUUAGUCCACUUUGUGCUUCUGUAACAGAAUACCUGAGGCUGGGUAAUUUAUAAGUAAAAAAGGUCCAUUUGGCUCACAAUACUGGUGGCUGGAAUGUCCGAGAUUAGGCAGUUGCAUCUGGUGGGGCCUCAGUCUUUUUCACCUCAUGGUGGAAAGUGGAAGGGGAGCAAGGGGUGCACCAGAGAUCACAUGGCAAGAGCGACAGCAGGAGGGAAGCCAAGGAGCCCAGACUCUUGUUAACUCCUACCCCUGCAGGAAUUAAUCCAUUCCUGUGAGAGCAGAACUCACUCAUCCCCAUGGAGGACAUUAACCUAUUCACGAGGAAUCCGUCCUCAUGACCCAAACACCUUUCACUGGGCCCCACCGCCCCACACUGCCACACUGGGGGUCAAAUUUCAACACGAGUUUUUGCAGGGACAAACCACAUCCAAACCAUAGUAAUUUGUAGCAUAGUUAAUUUCUUUUUCACAUGAUGUAUUCUGUGUUGUGAUACUCCACAUCCUGAAUAAUUUUAUUUAAUUUGAAUAGAGUUUGGCUUACCUGUUUGGCUGUAAAAUUCUGCGUGUUUUGACAAAUGCAUAGUGGCAGGUACCCACUAUUAAAGUAUCAUAUGGAAUGCUUCAAACCCCCACUCCAUGGAACCAAUGGCUUCCCAUCUGUGUAGUUUGCCUUCUCCAGAAUCUCAUCAAAUGAAGUCACACUGUGUAUAUUCUCCUCAGACUGUCUUCUUCCACUUAGCAAUGUGCAUGCAAGAUUCACUAAUGUCUUUGUGUGAGUUGGUAGCUUGUUCCUUUCUACGGCUAAAUAGUAUUCCAUUGCAUGAAUGUACCACAAUUUGGUUAUGCAUUUGGGGAGCAAAACCUUCCUCUUCUAACUUUGUUCCAGGGUUGGAGACCUUCAAAUUAACUGACAAUAGAUACAUUAAUAGGAGAGACAAUAUUUGGCUUCUUAUUCCACAAGUAUCAUUGUAGGACAAAAUUCAUCAGAUGGCAGGAUCCAGUUUACAAACAGAUGGCACCAAAAACGAAAGAAGCUCCUGCCCCUCCUAAAGCUGAAGCCAAAGCAAAGGCUUUAAAGGCCAAGAAAGCAGGGUUGAAAUGUAUCCACAGCCCCCCCCCCAGAAAAGAUCUGUACCUCACCCACCUUCCAAUAUCCCUAGACACUGCGACUCUGGAGGCAGCCCAGAUAUCCUGGGAAGAGCGUCCCCCAGAGAAACAAGCUUGACCACCAUGCUAUCAUCAAGUUUCCACUGACCACUGAGUCAGCCAUGAAGAAGAUAGAAGACAACAAUAUGCUUGUGUUCACUGUCGAAGUUAAAGCCAACAAGCACCGGAUCAAACAGACUGUGAAGAAGCUCUGGGACGUGGAUGUGGCCACGGUCAACAUCCUGAUUCGGCCUGACAGAGAGAAGUAGGAAUAUGUUCGACUGGCUCCUGAUUAGGAUGCUUUGGAUGUUGCCAAAAAACUUGGGAUCAUCUAAACUGAUUCCAGCUGGCUGAUUCUAAAUAGAUGUAUAUGUUUUCACCA